GGAGUCCGCGGUAGGAUUCCUUCCCUCGAUAGCCGGCAGCCUGCGUUCGGGGCAGAUAAGGAAGCCGGCGCACUGAUUUGUGGUUGUUGCGAUUGAGGCUGGAAUGCAACCGUUCGUCUUAUAGCUGGCCACUGUGAUGAAUCCCUCACGGGUGUACAGCGACCAACAGACUGUGUUCUAUGAGGUCUGUUAGUCCCUAACCUUAGGGACGUAGCGUCGGCCAGAUGGAAUCUUGCUGUGUCACCCGGGCUGGAGGGCAGUGGCGCAAUCUCGGCUCAAUGCAACCUCCGCCUCCUGGGUUCGGGUGAUUCUCCUGCUUCAGCCUCCCGAGUAGCUGAGACUACAGGCACAUGCCAUCACGCCCAGCUAAUUUUUUGUAUUUUUAGUAGACAUGGGGUUUCACCAUGUUAGCCAGGAUGGUCUUGAUCUCCUGACCUCAUGAUCCGCCCACCUCGGCCUCCCAGAGUGCUGGGAUUACAGCCUUUGAGAUCAAGGAGAGGAGCGAUCUCAUCCCUGGAAAAGCAAGUACUGAGACACAUUUGUUGAAUGAGGGGUCCCGUACGGAGCACCAGGCACGUACCCAGCCCUCAUUUGUUGAAUAAACGAGCAGUGCCCAGGAGCCCUGUGUGGGAAGGGGAUGAUGAAGAGAAGCGAUUUUCAGUGAAUGGGUUGACCGAAACAUAGCCACAGAGAUUUGCGCUUUUUCAACAAAUACAGAAAUCUCACAGGUUUGUCUUCUCAUGGAAUCUGCAUGGUGCCAGGAGCACUAAAAAUGACUCUCCAGACAAACAAAAGCAGGAAAAGCUGUCUGGACACAGUGGCUCACACCUGUAACCCAGCACUUUGGGAGGCUGAGGUGGGAAGGAUCUUUUGAGGCCCAAAGUUUGAGAGCAGCCAGGGCAACAUAGUGAGACCCUGUUUCUAUAACACAUUUUUUAAAACAAUCUAGACGUAGUGGUGCAUGCCUGUUGUCCCAGCUACUUGGGAGGCUGAGGUGGGAGGCUCACUUGAGCCUGGGAAGUUGAGGCUGCAGUGAGUUGUGAUCACGCCACUGCCCUCUAGCCUCAGAGACAAAGGAAGACCCUAUCUCCAGAAACAAAAGAAAAGAAAACCAAAAAACAAAAAGCAGAUCUUUACCACCCCACCUUAUUUGGGCCUACCUGCAGACCUGGGCGUGGGGCUGAAUGUUGGGAUCUCAAAGGAAUUUCAAAAAUCUGGCCCAGCCCCGGGGUAAUCUGACAACUAAAAACUCAUAAAGACAUAAAGAGAUCUUAAUGCUUACUGAGGCAGCACGGUCUUUCUUCGUCUGAGAAGGAGAGGUUAUGGUCCACAAACUGAAAGAAGUAUUCCAGGUCUGUUUGUGGUGGAGAGGGUUGGAGGAGGAUGCCUCCACUUGGGACUUACUGGGUCCUCCUUCCUGGCCAGGGAGGCAAAACAGACACAGAUUGGGCUGCAGAGCUGUAAGCCCUAAGCGGACUGGCAGGCGCUGUAAAAGAGAGCAGCGGGUUCAGUGGGUUGUGGGGUGGGCAGGGGGUAGAGAAAGGGGCCAGUCACACUCAGCUGCAGCCCUCGCGGCCUCGCGGGCCUGUGGUUGCCAGGACUUAAAUCUCCCAAGAGUCGUUACAAUCCUGACUUUUAUGUGAAAGCUCUCAUCUUGUAUUGGCAAGUAAAUCCAAGACAAUUUCAAUCACUGUGGGAGUCAAGCUAAUUACGUCUGCAGGCUGGAUUUGGUCUGUAAGCUGCCAGUGUGCCAUCUCUGGAUUAGUCACUGAAGAGUCAGGAAAGGUGAUGAACCAGCACCAGCCACCCCAGAUGGAGUCACGAUGUGGCGGUAGUGAGAGAACCAGGUGAGGGAACUGCGCCAGGUGCGGACGGGAGAGGCCUGACGUUCCUUCCCCAGGCUGCCCUGGGGAGAUGGCGGAGGCGGGGGUGCUGCUCCAGUGCUGUCUGCUGGAGGGAGGUGUUCCCUUCCCUGCAGGGCAGAGGCAACCUACACCUGGCUGGCUCUGGGUUUCCUUGUGAGUGAUCCUGUCUGUGGCAUGAGUACCACCUAGUGGACUUCGCAGGAAGAACUGUAUGUUGAAACCAUGCGGACAGUCAUUUACCAGAGCGGUGGCGUGAGCGCAGCAGAAGGGCCAGGGUCCUCCGAGCGAAUCAGCAUGAAAGAAACCGUAAUAAUGAGUAAACUCAAAGCUUGAAGCAUAAACUCAAAGCUUCAGGGGGACAAUGAGACAGAGGCAGGGGAGCUGGUCUUGCUUUCUCAGGCCGCCCAGUUCUGUUUGACUGAGCCUGUGGUCCGAGCGGAUGGAAUCCGCCCCUCCAGCACGGGGAGGCCCCCAGAGCCCAAAGACAAGGAGAGCCACCAGUCAUAUUGAAGCUUCCAGCCUUCUUUCUUUAAGCCUCAUGAGAAAUUAGGUGGGUGGUAAUCCCAAAUCAAUGUUUGUGGCUGUGCUUAUCCUGUUUCACAAGCCUAACAUCUGUGUUUAUAUUGUUUAAAAUCUAUUAAAUUGUGUGGAAUAUUUUCCCUUCAUUU
Long non-coding RNA from Pan troglodytes (chimpanzee), 2533 nucleotides. RefSeq lists it as uncharacterized. The record is from RefSeq and is a predicted model, not a curated record. The transcript is spliced from 3 exons. NCBI's taxonomy places the organism in Eukaryota, Metazoa, Chordata, Mammalia, Primates, Hominidae.